AUCCACCUUUAGCUGCAUUCGACGCACGCGCAACGAGCGACCGAGGUCUUCGGCCAUUUUACUUGGGUUCGUCUCAGGGAAAGGACGUUAGUUUCCUUACUGCAGAGAAUAACGGAUCUCGCAGCAUGGUAAACGGAAGAAUUCCGUCGGUCUUCUCCAAGACCUACGUCACUCCCAGAAGACCCUAUGAGAAAGCUCGUCUUGAUCAAGAACUUCGAAUAAUCGGUGAAUACGGUCUUCGAAACAAGCGUGAGGUAUGGCGAGUGAAGUACACUCUGGCCAAGAUUCGCAAAGCCGCUCGUGAGUUGCUCACGUUGGAAGAGAAAGACCCAAAACGGCUUUUUGAAGGAAACGCUUUGUUGCGUCGUCUGGUAAGAAUCGGUGUAUUGAAUGAGGCUCACAUGAAGCUCGAUUACGUAUUAGGUCUGAAGAUCGAAGACUUCUUGGAGCGACGUCUGCAGACUCAGGUGUUCAAAUUAGGACUGGCCAAGUCCAUUCAUCAUGCACGUGUGCUUAUUCGUCAAAGACACAUUCGGCACCAGGACAACGACACCUGAUUGAGUAAUCCUGGUUGACCGCAUUCGUAAAAUCCGAAAUACUCAAUUGCUAAUGAAAUUUUAUUCGCGCAGGCCACUUAAGUGCCGUUAAUCGGCCUUAACGCCUGAAUUAACUCUUCAAAGAGAAAGAAAGGAACUUUGAGUGCGCAAGCAAGUCGUGAACAUUCCGUCGUUCAUCGUGCGACUGGAUUCGCAGAAACACAUCGACUUCUCGCUCAAGUCGCCCUUCGGUG
Molecule: RNA transcript, 790 nt
Organism: Pseudomyrmex gracilis
Lineage: Eukaryota; Metazoa; Arthropoda; Insecta; Hymenoptera; Formicidae
Gene: RpS9
Gene name: 40S ribosomal protein S9
Exons: 5
Source: RefSeq, a predicted model, not a curated record